Molecule: long non-coding RNA, 205 nt
Organism: Tripterygium wilfordii
Lineage: Eukaryota; Viridiplantae; Streptophyta; Magnoliopsida; Celastrales; Celastraceae
Exons: 2
Source: RefSeq, a predicted model, not a curated record
AGCGACUGUCAGUCACGGUGUCACCAUCCUAAUUCAGAGAUGGAUAAGGCCUACAAUCUGCUCGAUGGGAAAAGAAAAGUAUAUAUGCGGCAAUCCAGCCAGCAAAGCAGACUUUUACAUGGAUUUGCACAAGAGCAUGCAAAGAUGUGAAUUCCUGGGUAAUUUUCAAAUAUAAAUAAGAUUUCAUCUGAUCUUGCUGACUACA